This 32-nucleotide transfer RNA is filed under the name Phaethornis longirostris (long-billed hermit). RNAcentral's name for it is "tRNA-Leu". Lineage: Eukaryota; Metazoa; Chordata; Aves; Apodiformes; Trochilidae. The record is from RNAcentral.
CUUUUAAAGGAUAACAGUUAAUCCACUGGUCU